GAUGAACGCUGGCGGCGUGCCUAAUACAUGCAAGUCGAGCGAACGGACGAGAAGCUUGCUUCUCUGAUGUUAGCAGCGGACGGGUGAGUAACACGUGGAUAACCUACCUAUAAGACUGGGAUAACUUCGGGAAACCGGAGCUAAUACCGGAUAAUAUUUUGAACCGCAUGGUUCAAAAGUGAAAGACGGUCUUGCUGUCACUAAUAGAUGGAUCCGCGCUGCAUUAGCUAGUUGGUAAGGUAACGGCUUACCAAGGCAACGAUGCAUAGCCGACCUGAGAGGGUGAUCGGCCACACUGGAACUGAGACACGGUCCAGACUCCUACGGGAGGCAGCAGUAGGGAAUCUUCCGCAAUGGGCGAAAGCCUGACGGAGCAACGCCGCGUGAGUGAUGAAGGUCUUCGGAUCGUAAAACUCUGUUAUUAGGGAAGAACAUAUGUGUAAGUAACUGUGCACAUCUUGACGGUACCUAAUCAGAAAGCCACGGCUAACUACGUG
Molecule: ribosomal RNA, 497 nt
Filed under: uncultured bacterium
Lineage: Bacteria
Description: partial 16S ribosomal RNA
Rfam family: Bacterial small subunit ribosomal RNA
Source: RNAcentral